ACAUUUCUUUCUGCAACACUCCUCUGGAAGCAUGCGUUCUCCGGGUCGACCUGCGCGACUCGAAAUAUUUGCCUUAAAUAUGGAUGCGAAUCGCCAGCUGUUUAUAUCGACUAAUCGUUAUUAUGGUUCAGGAGGUUGAAGAGAAAUUAGUUUUAAUUGGAUGAGGCGCUAAAAUCAUGCGUGUGCGAGCACCGAGACAAGGCCGCACCGCCGAGGAGAGUCACAUGAGCUGGCGAUGAACUGGGAUUGAGGCGAUUGCACACCCACACGUGGAGCUGCAGAUGGAGGCCUGCUAAGACGCUGUUCACGAUUGUGGAAUGAUCUCUGCAUUAACAACAUAGCAUCCGGCUGUGAAAUGGACCAGAACACUGUAAAUGACGAGGUGACACAACGUGGCUUAUAAUGUCUGCAUUUCCUGAUCAGUUUUUGAUAUGUAAAAAUAUCUGAAUAAAGCAUUGUUUUUAAACCUGUGUUGUGUAAUCUCACUUUACAUGGUUUUGAUAAUGUGGUUUUGUCUAUGCACUCUUUGGAACCUGAGCGGCUUUUCCAUUGGCCGCUCACAAAGGCCAAGAGCAGUGCGAGAUCAUCUCUUGUCAUAACUGGAGCUUCUUGGCAACUUUCCCAAGUCUCUCUUUUUAAGCAAGGCACAAAAUCUAAACACAAUUCAGUAACUUCUUUUCAUGCAACUACACUAAUGUAGGGAGCGAGAAAGUUGAAGGAGCAUCUUAAUGCUGACAUUAUGUCCUGUAGCUAAAUUAAUCUUGAUCAAAUGAAUACAAAUUAGUCUACAUUAAUCACCCAUGAUAAAUAUAACAAUUGACUGUUUACAUGAACAAUAUUCAUACAUUAACCUGAUUAUGAAAAUACUCUGAAUAAAACAUUGACAUGUAAACAGCAUUUUCUGAUCAACUUAACCUAAGUAGUCAUACGAAGUUAUUGAUAAUCAUAUUAAGACGGGAGUUUUCUGACCUUAGUCGCAUUAAGUAGACGUAUGCGUCUUAUAGUUUCAAUGCAUUUUGCUAAUUGACAUGUACAGUAGUUAAAUCUGCUUGAUGUCAUAAUCAGAUCUUUGACGUUUACAGAGAUGAGUGGAAUAUUUUAUCAGCAACUCGUAAACACCAUAAUCAAAGAAAUAUUGCUGUCGAUGUAAAGACUUGAAUUAGUCUUUAUUUUCAAAUAUUUAACUUCUGCAAUUGUUAGGUCAUCACCAGAAGUGUUAUAAAAAUCCCCAAACAAUAAAACAAGAUUUUUUUGUCUUUUUUUGAUGACCCUGUAAAUUGUCAAGAGACUUUGAAAUAUCCAGCUCUUGUAAAUUGUCGCCUUUAUAAGAUCAUAUUAUAUAUUAAAGAUUAAUUUAUUAGGAUCAUACUUGCAGUCCAAAAUGUUAACAUAGUUUUGGUAUGUAAUGAGUUCAUGUUUGUAUACAUUUAUUAUUAAAUAGAUGGAUCCUUAUGAGAA
Long non-coding RNA from Hippoglossus stenolepis (Pacific halibut), 1458 nucleotides. RefSeq lists it as uncharacterized. The transcript is spliced from 4 exons. Lineage: Eukaryota; Metazoa; Chordata; Actinopteri; Pleuronectiformes; Pleuronectidae. The record is from RefSeq and is a predicted model, not a curated record.